RNAcentral lists this ribosomal RNA (282 nucleotides) under Providencia rettgeri. RNAcentral describes it as "partial 23S ribosomal RNA". It matches the Rfam family "Bacterial large subunit ribosomal RNA", at positions 1 to 283 of the family's 2925-position model. Lineage: Bacteria; Pseudomonadati; Pseudomonadota; Gammaproteobacteria; Enterobacterales; Morganellaceae. The record is from RNAcentral.
GGUUAAGCGACUAAGCGUACACGGUGGAUGCCUAGGCAAUCAGAGGCGAUGAAGGACGUGCUAAUCUGCGAUAAGCGUCGGUAAGGUGAUAUGAACCGUUACAACCGACGAUUUCCGAAUGGGGAAACCCAGUGCAAUUCGUUGCACUAUCGUUUGAUGAAUACAUAGUCAAACGAAGCGAACCGGGGGAACUGAAACAUCUCAGUACCCCGAGGAAAAGAAAUCAACCGAGAUUCCCCUAGUAGCGGCGAGCGAACGGGGAGCAGCCCAGAGUCUUAAUCA